AAGGAUGAAGGAGGGGCAGAGAGAGGGGGAGAGGUAAGGAUGAAGGAGGGGCAGAGAGAGAGGAGAGGGGUAGAGGUAAGGAUGAAGGAGGGGCAGAGAGAGAGGAGAGGGGUAGAGGUAAGGAUGAAGGAGGGGCAGAGAGAGAGGAGAGGGGUAGAGGUAAGGAUGAAGGAGGGGCAGAGAGAGGAGAGGGGUAGAAGGAAGGAUGCAGAAAGGGAGAAGAGUAGAAGUACAGAUGACCUUCAAGGAGGAGAGGAGGAGGGGAACAGACAGAGGAUCUCCAAUGAGGAGAGGAGGAGGGGAACAGACAGAGGAUCUUCAAGGAGGAGAGUAGAGGAGAGAGGGAUCAAUAGCCCUCAUCCCUACUGCAGGUGACCAGCGUGGGAAGCCUCACACACACAGAUAAUAGAUGUUCUAUUGAGGAACCUAGACAUCUCGUGCAGCAUGUAGGGAAUAGGGGGCUAUUUGGUACUCAUAUAGUGCAGCAUGUAGGGAAUUAGGGUGCUAUUUGGUACUCAUAUAGUGCAGCAUGUAGGGAAUAGGGUGCUAUUUGGAACUCAUCUAGUGCAGCAUGUAGGGAAUAGGGGGCUAUUUGGAACUCAUGUAGUGCAGCAUGUAGGGAAUAGGGGGCUAUUUGGUACUCAUCUAGUGCAGCAUGUAGGGAAUUAGGGUGCUAUUUGGUACUCAUCUAGUGCAGCAUGUAGGGAAUAGG
Molecule: long non-coding RNA, 712 nt
Organism: Oncorhynchus keta (chum salmon)
Lineage: Eukaryota; Metazoa; Chordata; Actinopteri; Salmoniformes; Salmonidae
Exons: 3
Source: RefSeq, a predicted model, not a curated record